GUAUACUUGCUUCGGCGGUACAUAUACAAAAAAUUGGAACGAUACAGAGAAGAUUAGCAUGGCUCCUGC
Molecule: small nuclear RNA, 69 nt
Organism: Scylla paramamosain (green mud crab)
Lineage: Eukaryota; Metazoa; Arthropoda; Malacostraca; Decapoda; Portunidae
Source: RefSeq, a predicted model, not a curated record